UACCUGGUUGAUCCUGUCAGUAGUCAUAUGCUUGUCUAAAAGAUUAAGCCAUGCAUGUCUAAGUAUAAACUGUUUAUACAAGUGAAACUGCGAAUGGCUCAUUAAAUCAGUUAUAAUUUAUUUGAUAGUACCCUUUUACUACUUGGAUAACCGUGGUAAUUCUAGAGCUAAUACAUGCACAAAAGUCCUGACCUUUACGGAAGGGAUGCAGUUAUUAGAUACAAAACCAACCCGGGCAACCGGUUUUUUGGUGAUUCAUGAUAACUUUGCGGACCGCAUGGCCUUGCGCCGGCGGCGGGUCAUUCAAAUUUCUGCCCUAUCAACUGUCGAUGGGAGGAUAGAGGCCUACCAUGGUGAUAACGGGUAACGGGGAAUUAGGGUUCGAUUCCGGAGAGGGAGCCUGAGAAACGGCUACCACAUCCAAGGAAGGGGGCAGGCGCGCAAAUUACCCAAUCCUGAUACAGGGGAGGGAGUGACAAUAAAUAACGAUGCAGGACCUUUUGGGCCUUUGCAAUUGGAAUGAGUACAAUUUAAAUCCCCUUAACGAGGAACAAUUGGGAGGGGCAGGUCUGGGGGCAGCAGCCGGGGAAUUCCAGCUCCAAUAGCGUAUAUUAAGUUGGUUGCAGUUAAAAGCUCGUAGUUGAUUUCAGGGGUUUUUUUCGAGCUAGCCAAUGGUUCCCUUUGGCGGGCAAUGUGCAUUUGGGCUACAGCCCUUUUUUUUCUGCUAGGAGAUGNNNN
This 738-nucleotide non-coding RNA is filed under the name Allomyces macrogynus ATCC 38327. Its description in RNAcentral is "Eukaryotic small subunit ribosomal RNA". It matches the Rfam family "Eukaryotic small subunit ribosomal RNA", at positions 1 to 731 of the family's 1831-position model. Lineage: Eukaryota; Fungi; Blastocladiomycota; Blastocladiomycetes; Blastocladiales; Blastocladiaceae. The record is from Rfam by way of RNAcentral.